This 395-nucleotide ribosomal RNA is filed under the name uncultured bacterium. Its description in RNAcentral is "bacterial SSU rRNA". It matches the Rfam family "Bacterial small subunit ribosomal RNA", at positions 505 to 898 of the family's 1533-position model. The record is from RNAcentral.
GUGCCAGCCGCCGCGGUAAUACGUAGGUGGCGAGCGUUGUCCGGAAUUACUGGGUGUAAAGGGCGUGUAGGCGGGAAGUCAAGUCAGAUGUGAAAGCCCAGGGCUCAACCCUGGAUCUGCAUCUGAAACUGAUUUUCUUGAGUGCUGGAGAGGAAAGCGGUAUUCCUAGUGUAGCGGUGAAAUGCGUAGAUAUUAGGAGGAACACCAGUGGCGAAGGCGGCUUUCUGGACAGUAACUGACGCUGAGGCGCGAAAGCGUGGGGAGCAAACAGGAUUAGAUACCCUGGUAGUCCACGCUGUAAACGAUGGAUACUAGGUGUAGGAGGUAUCGACCCCUUCUGUGCCGCAGUUAACGCAAUAAGUAUCCCACCUGGGGAGUACGGCCGCAAGGUUGAA